UUUCCCAGCUAUGGCUUUAUGGUUUUUUUAUCAUAAGCUUAUGAAUUUACGGUAAGGUAUUUUAUACUUCUGUAAGAUAUGUACUUCUAUUUCUUUUAGGAGAAGGAGAACUGUCUAUAAGCACACCUGAAUACAACAAAGAUUAUGCGUUCAAGGUCAGGGCCUUAGUACUCAAGGAAAAGCAGAUCUAAUGUUGGCCAACACACCUUAAUUAAUCUAAUGUUUUCUCCCCUUUUUCCUGGCUCUCUCAAAACUAUGGCAGAAUCUUGAGUGAAAUCCCCACAGACAAGUGUUUGUUUCCAACCAGAUCCAUUCUCAUUCAGUUCAAGAAGUACACACAAGGAAGGUAACAUGAAUCAUGUAAAGAAGACAGAAUUAAAGAGGGGAGGGAAGAGAUGCAACUAUCACGGUCUUGUGUUGCCACCUUCUAUUCUGAUUUCAGGGGGAAGCCAGGGCAAUUUCAGACCCACCUGGAGACAGGAUCCCUUGUGCUCAGACAUGCUGACUUGUGAUAGGUUCUAUUUUGGUGUCUGAAAGAAUUUCAAGGAGCAAACAAAGAGACCAGAAGGAUCCUGUGACUCAAAACCAACAGAACUUGCUUCAGACUCUUCUUUGAGGGACACAGCAGAAUCGCUUCAGGCAGCUACCACCAUCCACACUGCUGCAAUUGAUGCCAUAUGCCAGAGCCUCUGUGUGCACAGCCUCUUGCAAAGGACAGAAGAGAUCACAGUUUUGGGAAGCCCAGAUAUAAAGAGCAGAAGAUAGGUAGACUGGUGGCAGAUCACAGGUCUAGUUUUUGUGUUGCAUGCAUUAGCUUAAGGUUAAGCUCUGGGUGCAAGCCAUUCUGUCAUGUGAAUUUCUUCACAACUCUUGGGAUUUUGGAAAAAGUUGAAGCCAACCUAGCGACAAGACAAGCAACUGAAACUUUACAAUAUUUAACUUGGCCAGAGAGGAAUUCUCCACUGAUUUUCUGGCUACUUCAUUGGCCCAAGUAAAAGCCUCCUAGGAGACCUUCCCAGAUAGUGAGCAGAAGUACCUUCUCAAACAACACUACACUCGGUUUUAAAAGAUAGAGAAAAUGAAAAUAAGAAAUAAUCCCCAAAGCUUACAGCAGCACUGCACUUUCUUUCCAUCCCAUGCAGAGAUGACGGUUCAGUUACCACUUCCCUCUGCUGCACUCUUUGCAGCGCUCACCUUGGAAAGGGGAAGAGAGACAUGGCAGAGAACCAAGGUGAAUUUGGAAGCAUGACACAGGGAGAUGGGUGAGAACUAACAGGAGGGAGGGGACUGGAGAUGCAUACAUGGAUUCUUAGUCACUGGGGUGGGCAGAACUGAGGCGGGGGAAGACUGAUAUUUGGUCUGCAGGCAAGAGUGAUGUGGAAGUUGUGGAAGAGAAGUAAAUGCGUGGAAGGAGGCACAAAGGUGUGAGGGGGGAGGCAUCUGAAGCACUUCUCAAUAAACAAGAGUGUCUGGAUAUUUGUUACAAAGACAUACCGAAUAUGGUCAAAAGGGAGACUCAAAACUUGAAAGUCAAGUUGAAAUCCACUGUGUAAGACUUAAAUAGCAUAUAAAUAACAAAAAUCAGAUGCCUAGAAAAGAGAAUUACAGUGGGAGCAGCACAAAGUGAUGCUUUCCCAAAAUACACUUCCAACCAGACUUCCUGAGCCAGAGGUGAUACCCUUGCGUUAAAAAAGAAGUCCCUCAGUAGUUUUCCCUUCUAUCAGUUUGUCUGGUCUCACCUUGAUCCUGUCUGCAUUUUCAGCAUCAUCCUGUGGCUGGGAGCAUAUCUUUGCUUCAGCUGUCCUUACCUAACACUCUUUCCGAGCACUAUUAGGAACAAGGACAGCAUCACGUACAUGAUCAGGUACUGGGUCAAGGCCACUUGAGCAAACAGAAUACUCUCUCCAAAGAUGACAAGGUGCAGGAGCAUGGAGGUACCUGGGACAUGGUCAAAAGACAAGGCCAGUCUUUCCAUUGACUCUGUCUUCAUUUCAGGUCUGGAUCCUAAAGGAGACAGAGUUAUUUGCUGCUGUCUUAAGUUAUGAUUUGUUUAAAAGUAUCCCAUCUGUUCAGAGAUCAGCACAAAAAGGCAAAACACAACCAACUGUGACAAAAUAUAUAAAACAGCAUGAGCUGCCUACGGAAAAAUGAAAACAGUCCAAAAUAAUAGAGACCAAUGUGAAUCAUGACCAAUAAGCAUAUUUUUUACAAUAAACAUGUCAUCAGUGUCAGACAAACAAAUCACAAAUAUUUAUUAAGAUAAGAAACAGAUUAUUAAUAGACAUCCCAAUUUCAAAUGAUGUCCUUCAGUCCUAGUAGAUAGGAAUUAGCAGCCAAGUCUGCCAGAAUGAAUCUGGCACUCUCACAGAGGUCAUCAUACCUAACAAAUUUAAAAAUGAAGAGAGUACAAAGAAGGAGAAUGUAGACAAGUGGGUGUUUUUUUUCUCUCCUACUAGUCUGACAUAGUUUAGAGGGAUCAGGCUGCAUCAGUGCUACUAAAGAUGAUAUAAGCAUGGCGAUAACAACAAAAAACUACAGGCAGAGUUGUGGGAGAUGCUUCCCCGGUAGCUGCAGUUCUGACCCUAAUCCCAUAAGCUGCUCCAGGCAAGCAGGUGCAUGAGGCCUCAUUUUGAAAUCAGUGGGUUCAAGCCAAGCACAAAAAUCUGUCAGGUCAGAGCAUCAGUCUGCAGUUUCCAUUUACCUCCUUUUGCCAUUCUUUCAGAUGCAGAUAAUGCUGAUAUGGUGUGAGUUGUGACAUUAUAAAAAUAUAGAAGAAUAUAACAGUAUUUAUUCUUCCACUCUGGUGGCUGCAGAAUGAAGCCUGUCAGUUAAAAAGUGAACCAAAGUUAAUUUUCAGGAGGAGCUAAAUAAAACCAGUUGUUUCUUAAUGCAAACCUGGCA
Long non-coding RNA from Neopsephotus bourkii (Bourke's parrot), 2901 nucleotides. RefSeq lists it as uncharacterized. The transcript has 3 exons. NCBI's taxonomy places the organism in Eukaryota, Metazoa, Chordata, Aves, Psittaciformes, Psittacidae. The record is from RefSeq and is a predicted model, not a curated record.